UUUUUUUUUUUUUUUUUUUUUUUAAAAUUCUUAUUUUUUUUUCUUCCACCAUUCUUGAAACUUAGGGAGUGAGAUUGACUUGCAUAUAAUGCCUGUUCAAAUACAAUCAUGGCAGCGCAGUGACGGAGUCAAGAAUUUAGCAAAGGGUGUGUAAAUUUUCUUCCCAGUUAUGUUAAGGGUGUGAAAAAUUAAAUAUUUACUCAUAAUAGCUAACAUUUAAUCUUUGUAAACCACGUAACUACAAAGGGUGUUCAUCUGACCACCCUUCGUUCAAGAUGGCUCCGCCCAUUUGGCAGCGUCUCUUUUACGUUGUUCAAGUACAUCAAACUUGAACCCUCAAUAAUCCACUGGAAUCGAAAAGUCCAUUAAAGGUAUACUUCGAAAUUUCAUCUUGAAAAAAUUGAAAUUUGUUGUGAAGGUGUCCAUUUCUACUUUGUCAGUCAUUUCAUGACCAUUGAUGAUCGAAAAAUUAAGCUUCUCCGCAAAUUUCACAUCUGUUUAAUUUGUUACCAAAGAUUUAAUUUUUUGACAAUCUAUUCAUAUCUUUCUUACUUCUUGUUAAAGAUCGGCACUUACGAUCUUCUUCUCCACAAAUUUCAUACCUUAUUAUUUAUUGUAUCAGCACCUCCUUCCCUUAUGCCGCUAAAGAUUCAUUUUUUCAUAAUAGAGGUCAAAAUAUUUCUGUAAGAUGGGAGAAUUUUUUGAGAAAUUUAAGAUCAUAUUAAAUGGUGAUUUGCUUUUAGAAAAAGAAAGUCGUCAUCUUUAUUUGUUUUCAAAAUUAUGGAUAAAAAAGUAUAAGAAAUAUAAGCCUUCAUCUUUAUUUCUAUUGUUGAUGAUGCUACUUCUCAAUCAUCACUCCUCCACCAACCUAAGGAAAUAUAACCGAACUAAAUCGCCAAUCAUGGACAAGAUCUAGAAACCUAUCUACCAUCACUUGGUCGGAGGUGAUAUUUUAGGCAAAAAUGGUGGGUUUGUUAAGUAAGAGUAGGCGACGGAAUGAAUGCUAGGAGCGGAGAAGACAAAAAAACUGGAACUUGAAUCAUUUUUUCCCUUUUAUCUUUGAAAUUUGAGUUUAUAAAGAAUGAUUUUGUGUUCAAAUUUUCUGGUGAAUAUUUGAAAUCGUGAUUCUUAUGAAUUAAAACUAAAUUUACGAAGAAAUCAAGGGGAUAUAUUAUAACACAAUAGAAUCUGAUAGUGGAAGAUUUUUGACAUAAUUGAUGUUGAAAAUAUUUUGUAGUUCCUUGUUUUUGUGUUUAUUAAUAAUUUAGAAAUAAAAUUACUUUAAUUCAGAUAUUGGAAAACAAACGGUUUUAAUUAUUGAGCAUUUAGAUAUAGAGACAAUAUCUUAAGUUCUUAACUAUUAAAAUUUGUAUUCAAAUUCAGACCUCUUAAUGCUAAUAAAAAAAAAAUGUAGCCUAAGUCCCUUUUAUGCUCUGAAGGACGACACCUCGUCUAUGACCAUCUUUCUAUACUUCAAAGAAGUAUAAAUGAUCACCUUGUCUAAGUCCCUUCUAUACUUCAAACCGUAUACUAACUGCUUUCUAUGACAUAGUAUGAGAUUAGUAAAGAUAUGACUCCUGCACCUAACUCAAUUCCAAAAGCUAGAUUAUCGGGGAGGGAAUUAUCCAAGUCUACAUAAGCAAACUGUUAGAUCUUCAAUUAAAGUGGGACUUUCACCCAUUCUAAUACCCCCUUCACGCUCAAGGCUCAAUUCGACCGUGGACCGGGAGCACAAACGAGGAUGGAUUUGACUCUGAUAUCAUAUAUGAUAUGACAGUUGGCCUAACUCAACCCCAAAGCUAGCUCGGAGGUGGGAUUGUUCAAAUCCACAUAAGCAAACCUCAAUCCAUUCUCCAACCAAUGUGAGACUUUCACCCACUCUACCAAGAUUGAUAUAAUGCAAGUUAUGAUUUAUUACAAAUUUGUUCACGAAAUUCAUACAUAUAAGAACUUAUUCUAGAAAUGUCCUACAACAACAAUAAUGACAGUACUCAGUAAAUUUCAUAAGCAGGAUUUAGGGAGUGUAGAGUGUAUGUUGAUCUUACCACUACUUCUUAGCUCGGAGGUAGACAAGUUGUUUUUGAAGGAUCCUGGCUCAAGUAUACUAGAUCGGAUUUAAAAAAAAACAGUAAAAAAAUAUAUCAAUUAAUAAGUAAAGCAAUGCAAAACCUAUAAAAAAGGAACACUAAUAACUUGUUAAAGAUGAUAGAAUACUUACUUUGUUAAAGAUGAUAGAAUACUUCUUUAAAAUAACAAGAAAAUGAAACGGUAUGCAUACAUUUUUUUUUUUAACACAAUAUCAAAUAUAUCAUACAACAGAACAUUUCAUGACCAUGACCAACCAUCCAUAGGAACUAUUCAAUGGUUUUAUUCAUACAAGCAAAAGUUCUAAAUAAAGUAGCAAGAUUAUUAUGUUCUUGCUACUUCCAUUACAAAGGAUUACAUUAAUAAUACAUAAUUAAGCACUAAUUAAUUAGUUCUGUGGCUCAGAUUCAGUGGCUAUUCCCAAGGCCAUGUAUUCUUCAUAGGUGCAGCAUUUGUGAUAUUUGCAUUUAUGGUAACAUCCUUUAUGAUAGCCACCCUUUUUAUAGCCACCUCCGCCAUAGUAAUGGUCAACAUCUACUUCUUUUUCCGCUGCAUCGAUGAAUUGAGAAUAUUAAAACUAGUGAAUAUGCAUUGACUGAUCUUUGAAUUGAAAUUUCUUUUACUAUACAUAUAUUUAUAUAAAUUUUUUUGUUUUAAUCUGAUAUGUUUAAGUUCGCAAGAUUCAAAGGAUAUUUUAAUAUGUUCUACACACAUUUAUAUAAAUUGGUUCUUUUUUUUUUUUUUUUCUUUGGAAUGAAUUCAAUUACAUAAAGAGAAUGAAAGAUGGUACUUACAGUUGGGAGUCUCAGUCAAGUUGGGAGUCUCAGAUUCAGUGGCUAUUCCCAAGGCCAUGUAUUCUUCAUAGGUGCAGCAUUUGUGAUAUUUGCAUUUAUGGUAACAUCCUCCUUUAUGAUAGCCACCCUUUUUAUAGCCACCGCCGCCAUAGUAAUGGUCAACGUCUACUUCUUUCUCCGCUGCAUCGAUGAAUUGAGAAUAUUAAAACUAAUGAAUAUACACUGUCUAAUCUUUGAAUUGAAAUUUCUCUUACUAUACAUAUAUCUAUAUAAAUUUUUAGUUUCAAUAUAAUAUAUUUAAGUUCGCAUGAUUCAAAGGAUAUUUUAAUAUGUUCUACACACCUUUAGUUUAGUUUAUAAGGAUUGAAAAGUUUAUGCUAUAUUCUUCAAAUUCAUGCAUAGCGAGUGAGACAUAAAAUGAAGCAUAAGGAAGGUAUAUCAAGUGUCAUGAUCAAGCUAGUGUUAGUAAAACAUUAGCUUAUCGUCUAACAUUCAUAAAACCUUACAAAUUUUAAUUCAUGGUCUAAUUUUAUAUGCUGGACAUAUCUUUAAUAUGUUACUUUUUUUUUUAUUUAAAGUUAAUUACCCAGAGAUUCGAUGGAAAGAGCAAUAAAAACGCAUAAAGUAAUGCGUAAAGAUAUGCUAAUAUGCCUACAUAGUAACAUCAAUAGUUUUUUUUUUUUUUCUUCGAAUGAAUUCAAUUACAUAAUGAAAGAUAUACUUACUGUUGGGAGUCUCACUCAACUCCCUAGCUACUACUUCGGAGCUUAUCAUUAAGAAAAUAGCCAAAAAUAGGCCUAGCAAUAGAAAUGUUUUGGAACCCAUUCUUUUUUUAUUCCAAAGCUUAGUACUUAUAAUAACUCAAAAUUGAGGGAUGAAGAAACUGAUACAUUCUUGGGCUCUAUUUAUAGGAAGAUUUAUGUGCAUAAAUAAUUGAAGAGAGAUGUAAAACUAGGAGGGGGAGGGACAUGUAUUGGGAUGCAAUUAUUGUUGUGGACCAAAGAAACUUAACAACUUGGUCUACAAGUGAGUUAAAAGAGAUUGUUGAAUUAACUUACUCAAAUUUUUUUUUAAAGUGACAACUCUAACAAGUUUUGUUGUUACUAUAGUAAAGUUGUAAGUAUAUUCUUAAUCUUAAUCAAAUAUUUUAAACUUGAGUUUUGCAUAUGAAGAUCAUUUGUUGACAGUGUUUUAUCAUCUGAAACUUUUUGGUGUGUAUUCCAAAUUUAAUUUAGAUCUAAUACAAAUAUAGUGAUAUAUGAAUACUAGACAUCGAAUGAAACAUAAAAUAAAGUAAAAAAACAAGUCAUCUACAAAGUGUAGGCGUUGCAAGAAAAGUUUUCACAAUGUUCCAACUAAGAAAAUAAAACAAAAAAGAAAAUGAAGAACCUAACGGAUAUUGUGAGUGAUUUUGUUGAAUAUUUUGUCAAUUUGAAUUAUGACAAACGCUUUAUUAGUCACGCAAAUAUUAUGACUUAAUAAGGGUGUGUUUUGCAUGAAGAAAAAUGUUUUUUCAUGAAAUACAUUUUCAUAGAAAAUAUUUUCUCGAAAUAUAAGUGAUUUUUUUAGUUAAUUUUUGAUAAGUAAGUAAAACUGUAAAAGAAUAUUAUAAUAUUAAGAACAUUUAAAUAAAUCUCGCAAUAAGAGGGUUGGAGAAUGAGGGUGAACGGGUAAAAUACUCAAGGGUUGUAGGUGUUGGAAAGCAAAAUUGAAGUAGAUAAAUUUAAUAUUUAAGUUUUAAAAUAUGAAUGUUUGAAAACUCUGUAAAAAUGCUAUAAGCUACUCUCUUCGUUUUAAAUUACUUAACCUCUUUGUACUUGACCCACCCUUUAAGACGCAAAACGAUUGAAGGUGUAUUUUUACCCUUAUAUCCUAAUAUUUAAGCAAUGAUUAUGGAGCAGAAGCCAAAAAUCAAUUUAUUUGAAAAAUUAGAUUUAUUAAACAAAAAUGACUAUGGAGUAGUACUAAAAGGGAGCAAGGAUCGUUUACAUUUAAAUGACUUUGGAAUUAAAUAAUUCUAUUUUUAAAAUUUUUAGAAAGUAUAAUGCUUAAUAGGGAUGAAAGUGAAAAAAGAAAUCUAAAAUAAUCUCAAUUUUAUAAACAUGAUAAGUAAUUUAAAAUAAAUAAAUAUAAAAAAUAGGCCAAAAAAUUUAAAAGAGAAAGAAUAUAAUAAUAUUAAUAUAAUAGAAAAAAUGCAUCUUAAGUUGUUAGUAAUUCAUCUGCAAUGAAACACCGUUAAAGUAGAUUUGGGUUGGUGGCCCAGAAAUUAAUGCACGUAGAAAAUUUCAAAGUCUUACUUAUCAACAGAGGCGGACGUAGAGUAGAAGCAAAAAUCCAUAUCUGUUAUUGUAAGACUUAAAAUUAUAUAGAGAAAUCGUUAAAAGUUAUAAAUAUUAAUAGGUAAGAACCAUAACUAAACCAAAGGAUAGCUUAGUGGCAAGAAAAGAGCCCUUAAAAAUCCACAAAUUCAAAAUUUUGAAUCCGCCUAUGCUUAUCAAUUGACUUAUCAAAGGCUCUUCCAUCUUGCUCUGCUGCCACAUCACUUAAUCUUCUCCAAAAAAAUAUUUUUCAUGAAAAAUAAUAUAAUUCCACCCAAUGACAAAUAUUAUUGGCAUAUAUAAGGUGUGUUCGUUAUGAUACUUUUUAAAAAAUAAUUUUUUAAAAUAAAACUAGAAAAAACAAAUUUUACUAACAAAACUUAUCUUCACCAACCCAUCCCCAUUCCCCAUCAAUCCAUAUUCCAUACCCCCACCGUCAUCUAGCACAUGGAUGGCACCACCUUCUUCUUAGGCGAAAGGUGGCUCAGUGCAUACUAUUUAUCAAAAAAUAAUGUGUUCUACUAAAAUUAAAGAUUAGUUAUUAUGAAUAUUUAUUUAAUUUUACAUAAUUAAAAAAGAUUUACACACACUUCAUUAAUAUAAUAUCCCUUGACUUACCUAUCGAACUCAAUAAAAUAAGUACCUACAUAUUUCUUUGAGAUCUAAUACAUCCAAUGUCAUAAUUCAUUCAAUAUUAAUAUAUAAUUAGAUAUAUAUUUUCGUAUUUAUUUUUAAAAAUUUGCCCAACUUGUAAGUUGUAGGACUACCUUAUCCUAAAAUAUCUAGAAGUAGUGGUGCAUACAUACUCUUUGAUAUAGUCAAUAUUUAGAGAAUUAAAUGACGAAUUCAAUGACUCUUUUAGUGUACGAUCAAGUUUAAAUAAGAGGGGACAAAUCUCUUCGAUUUGAUUAAAACUGGAGAAAAGUCUUCCAGAAAAGACCCAACAAUACAACAAUAAAAAUUCUUAUUUGUUUGGCCUAAUGCAUGGUAGAGUCAGAAUUUCUAGUAAAUGGAUUUUAAAAAUAAUUAACCAUGUUAAUAGGACUUUAAAAAUAAAUAGAUCAAAUUUGAUUUGAGUAAGUUAGACAAAGUUUCAACUUUACCUCAACAUGAAUAACAAAAUAUAGAAAGUUAAACUUUUUUAUUUUGAUCAUGCGGUCAAACAUACAAUCUUUAAAUUUUUUUUUAAAAUAAAUUACAUAUUUAGAAAUUACAUAAAAAGUAUAAUAAAUUACCAGAAUUGAAUUUUACGUUUAAGUUGUUUAUACAUUAACAUAAUAAACUAAUACUAAUUUUCUCUUAAUUUUAAGAAGAGAAGAUCUAAAAUAUUUUAAAUCAGUCAAAAUAGAUAAACAACAAACAAAAGUAUAAUUUUGUGAAAAAAAAAAAGUUAACCAUCAAAUUAAUAACCUGAAAAGUGAGAGAUAAGAGAAAUCAAAAGAGGGACAGAAUGUAAGAGAACAAGAAAGUAAUUAAGUAACUAGAAAUUUAAUCCCAAAGCUAAUAUAGAAGAUACAAAAAAAUGAUGUUAUUCAGACUCGAAUGCACGCUGAAUCAGAAAUUUUGCACCCUUCACCAUUGAACUAAGCUUUAGCCUUCUUUUCGAUGGUGGAAGGACCACGCUAGUCCUUUGAGUGUGUGGUGUGUAGUGGGUGCGUCUUAGUGUCUUCUUACUACGUGUCAAUGGGAUUCGGUGCUUAACAUAUAUACAAUAAAUCAAAAUUUUGAUUGUAUAUACACAGUGUAAUUUUUUGAAGAAGGGGGGUCGAUGAACCCCUGGACUCCAUGUAGAUCCGACAUUGCCUAAUAGAGUUUAUAUAUGUGUGUAUGUAUAUAUAUACACACACACUCAUAUACACACAUAUAUAUAUAUUGAUGGCAUAAAAUAUUCGUAUAUUAUUUAUUCAUCUUUAAAAUGUUUAUAAUUACUUUUUAGUAUUUAUGUUUUAGAGGAUGCACAGAAGACACAUAAAAUUUCAUAUUUUUAACACAAGUAUCUUAAUUCCUAAGUUGAUGAGGAAAAAAAAAAUGAGCAAGACAUAAGUCAACAGAGAUAUAUUUAGACUUAGAGGUCGUUUAAUAGAGUGUAUUAAAAUGUUAAUGCAUACAUUGGUUUAAUGUCUAUUAGUAGUACCUUGUUUGGUAUACCUUUUUAUCCUAUGUAUAACUAAUGCAAACAUUAGUUAUACACUCUAUUGUGUAUUAAGGUGUAUAUUACUAAUAACUCAAAAUUCAUGCAUUAACAUACUUAAAGACUCAAUUAUCCCUCAAAAAUUUUUUUGCAUCUUUUCCAACAUAUAUAUUGAGGGUAUUAUGUAAAAAAAAAAUUUUUUUUUAGAAAUUAUGUAAUUCAUGUUUUUUUAAUACAUCGAAGCAAACACUAUAUAAGAAAAAUAUAAAUAUAACUAAUACAAAUAUUAUUAAUACUAGCAUUACUAAUAUAUUAUAUUUUGUAUUAUUGUUAUACAUUUUACCAAACGAUCUCAUAGUGAUGGAGAGAGAAAUACUGUUUUGGAUCUUAUUGCUCCACGAUAUGAGAGAAUUUUCUAAAAGCUGACAUGAGCCACUAGUGCUUUUUUCUGCAUAAUACACAUAUAUUCUCACAUGCAAGUGUACAAGUAGGACCCAUAAGAGUGCAAGAGGAUUUAGCAUUCUUCAUACCAAACUUCUCAAGGAGCUCUUUGGUAUAUUUAUUUUGGCAAAGAAAGGUCCCCUCAGAUGACAGAUGUAUUUGCCAACUCAAAAUGAAUGUUGAUUUUUCUAUUAGAAUUUCCUUGCAUUAGAACAAAAUUUUUUUGCAUAAGACAAUAUUAUUACUUCCAAAGAUAACAUCAUAGAUCUGAAUAAUUAAGUUUUCAGAGGAAAUUCUUAUGAUAAAAGGAGUUGUAUUAAUUUCUUUUUUUAAAAAAAUAAAAUUGCGAUAAAGAAAUUGAUCUAUUUAUCAUAUCAAGCUCGAGAAGCUUGUUUUUAAAUCACAGAGAAUUUUUUGAAAGUUUAAAAACAUGAUUGGAAACCUAUGAUUUUCAAAACCUGAGGUUUUUACAAAAACUUAAUAAACCCAUUUAAAAACAUCCAUUUAAACAAGAUUUGAAUAGAUUCUAACCUUGUAACUGUUGCAAAAGUUUUAUCAUAAUUGUCUCCCUCUUGUUGUGAGUAGCCUUGAGCUAUUAGACAAACUUUUUUCUCCCAUAACUUUAUCUGAUUCAUUCAUCUCAUUUGGUUAUAAUGAUUAAGGCAUUCUCUAGUCCACACAUUAUUUUUAUCAAUUUGCUCGAGCUCUUUUUUCAUUGUUUUGACCCAAUAAUCAUCUUUUGAAGUCGCAUUCACUUUCAUUAGAUCAAGUUGAGAUAUGAAGGCAAUAUUUGCAUGUCUUUAACUGGAAUCUCUUAUAAGCCAUUAUUUUGAUCAUCUUAAUUAAGUGAUCGAUCAUGUUCACUUUGGAAUUGCUCCAAGUUCAAUUUGAUGCUUUAGAGGCAGCAGUUAAGCAGACAAUAAACUUAGUAGUAGAGUCAACAACAUUUCCCCCCUAUUAUUAUGAACAAAGCAUUUGUAUGAAAGUGCACAAUGUUGGGCCUUUGGUUGUUUCAAAUUUUGUAAAGAGUUUUCUUAAAUAAAUCUGCUGAGGCAUUUAUUGCUUUGCCAUUGGAGCUAUCUGUAAAACAUACUUCAAAAUCAUUUUCUUCUUCAAAUAAGCUUUGUACCCUGUGAAUUGAAUUUCCACUUUCAAGCUUCCAUUUCCUAUUAGCUUUUGAGUGGAGUUCCUGCAAAAUAAUUAUAUUACUUAUUUCUAUGUACCCAAGUGUUCUUAGGUAUCCCAUGGUUAGUUAAAUGUGUUGACUCAAUUUUGAGUCUCCAAAUUCAUUUGCUAGAAUUUCUAGAUCGAAAUCUGCAAUUAUAGUAUUUGUAAUUCGGUUUACCACGGUGAUAAUAAGAAGUAAGUAUUGUUCAGUGACUGCAUAAUAGGUAUUAUAAUUGUGAGUAGUUCUUUUAAUCGAUCGACUCGAGUUUAUUGACCGUUGAGAUCCUUCAUAGCUAUAGAAUCUACUAUUACAAGUUCCAGUGUCACAUUUGUCAGUUGACUGCGUCAACUGAAUUGAUCUGACAAUACUAUGACUUGUAGAUUUCGAAAGUCAUUAAUUUUAAUUUUUAAAUCAUCAACUUCUUAAUAUAAAUAAUUUUUUUCGAUUUCAUAAACUUCAAGUUUAAGUUUUCAGUCUCUUCUCUCUCUUAAUAAAGCCCUUUUUCUCAUCAUGGGCUUUAUUUCGAUCCGCGCUGGCAAGAUCUAACAGAUUUUACAGUUUAGAACAUUCAUUAUAGGAAUUGGUUCUUACCUAACUAGACUUUUCAAUUUUCAUGAAAUAACAGUCUCCAAUACUAUUGUUAUCAUGGUCGACUUGUUCUUUAUCAUCUUAGCCUUUUGAUUUUUUUUUUUUUCAUGGACUCUACAUGAAUAGAUUUCAAUUUGUUUCAUAUUUCUUUAGUUGUUUACAGGUGGAUAUUUUCUCACAUUCUUUUCCACUAAGAGCACAACGAAGCAAGUAGAUUGCCCUAACAUUUGUUUGCACAAUAUCCAAAUGUUCUUUUGUGUAGUCAAAUGUGACGGUCUUUUUUUCAAAUUUCUUUUCAUUAUUUUUCAAAAUCUGCCUUGGCCCAUUUUGAAUAACUAGUCAUGCUUUAUAAUUUGUUGAUUGAACGUAAGUGUUCAUUUUUGUGUUUCACUGACUAUAGUAUAGACUGUUAAGGAAGGUUGAUUGGCUUAUUGAAAGUCCCUCUUGAAAUAUGACUUCAGUAAUUUGAUAUUCUGCCAUGAAUCUGUAUUCAUUUUUUGUUAAGCAAAAACGGAGAUGUGAGACGAGGCUUUGAUAUCAAUUGAAAGUAGUAAGACGAGGAAAGGGGUGAAUUACUCUUGUUUUGACCAAACAAUCGACUUCAUUCAACAAUUAGUCGACUAUUGAUUGUAGUAAUAAAGUGUUCAGGAAAUAAGGAGCUGAAGAUAAAAUUAAACUAGAUAUUUGAUACUAAUUGAGACCUCUAAUUGGGUUUUACUUCAAUCUCCUUGGAUUGCAAGGGAUUCUACUAGUUCUUUAUGAAUAAAAUCAAAGUACAAGAUUGAGUCAAGUUUUUUGACUUUGACUCACCCUCUCUUCUUUUCUUUCAUACUUCGAUACAAUGUCUCAUCAAAUAUGUGUUUCUCUCCUCGAUCUCUUUUUAAGUACACAGUAAACGUUUAAGAGAAUACAUUGCUUGAGUAAAGUAGAGCAAAGAACUAGAAAAAAUUGAGACAAGUGUAUAUCUCUUUCUUAGUUUUUCAUUGCUUAAAUAGUACUGAUUAGACUACUACUAAUCAUUGAAAAAUAUGAGGCAACCCAAGAAUUUUUUUCCUUGAAAAUAAGAUAAAAAAAUCUUAUUUUCAAGAAUAGAAUGAAUCAUAUUAAUGAUUCCAAACUAUCCAUAAUAUUAUUUCAUAGAACUAGUCACACGCUUAAUGAAAUAUCAUGUUGUGGUACUUCUUUUCAUAGUGAUGCGGAUUUGUGAUUACCCUUGAAAGAGGAUACAUGUUUCUUUUCCCUUUUUAAAUUGAUUCUUUGAAAAAAAAAUUAUUUGCAGCCAAUUUUCCUUUUUAAUUGUAGUGAAGAAUAUUUGAUACUAUUUUCAGAGAUCGGGCUUUCUGAUUUGUAGCCACUUUUUCUUUUUAUUGUACCCAAGAAUCUUUGACAUCAAUAUACCUGCAGAGGAAGUCAUAUAUUAAAACAUCAGAUUAUCACAAAUCUCCGAUACCCAACAUAUUAUUUCUAUAAUAUGAAUUUUCUUCUUGGGUACAAAAUUUUAGAACAAAAAUGUCUGAACAGAUCGAGCAACAAUGAAAUUAGCUAUCCUCAUUGUUAAUUUAAAGCUAAAUUACUUGUAAUUAAUUAACAAACUUUUCAAUGAUUUAUUGCUAAUCCUUAGUCAAGUAAGAUUAACAAUAAUGCAUUAGCGAAGAAUCUUGUUAUUUUGCUAUAAAUUAAUUUGUCCAUCUUUAUUUUCUAGUAAUGAUAUUCUAAUUUUAAUGUUGUCCAAUUUGUAAUCAUUCCCCCUAAUUAUCUUCUCUAUCAAUCGACGAUAUUGUUGCAACUGAACAAUUGAAACCAUUAAAACUCAAUGAGACACCAAUAUAUGCUUGGACGGAUGAUCACCUUGUCUAUGUCCUAUUUACACUUCAAAGAAAUAUAAUUAAUCACCUUGGGUGUGUUUGGUACGAAGGAAAACAUUUUCCAGAAAAUGUUUUCCAAUUUUGUUGUGUUUCGUUGGCUUAUAUGUUUUGAAAAAUAUUUUUCAAACCAACUUAUUGUUCUUAAAUCUAAGGAAAAUGACUUCCUUCAAAGAGUAAGGAAAACAUUUUCCAAAACUCUCAUUCAAUCUCACUUUAAAGUUGAAAUAUUCGUACAAUUCUCAAAAUCAUCUAACUCGCCCCCUUGCCUCUCCCCCAAUACCCUAUCACCCCGACACUACCCCUACCCCCACCCCCAAAAUUUCAUUAUUUUAAAAAGUAUUUCAAAAUUUUUUCUUAAUCCAUCCCUUACCUCCACCCCACCCCUCUUCCAAAAAACAAUAUCUACAUUUUACUAAAAAAUUCAAACUUUUCUCUUAUCCCCCUUCCCUCCCCCCACCAGCCUCUCUCCCAUCCCUCCAUCCCAUAACCUAAAGAAAAAAAUUAAAUUUAUUUUUAAAAAAAUUUCAAUUUUUUUCCUCCCCCUUCCCCCUUCCCCCUCACUCCCCUAUCCUGACCCCUAGCUCCAGGGACGGACCCACGUGUAAUUUUGGAGUGCUUCGACACCCACUAAAUUCGACGUAGAUUAGGUAUAAUUAUAUAAAAAAUACAGAAUAAAUGGUAUAAUUUAUUAAAAAGCACCCAGAGAACAAACAUAUGGUUAGGUGUUCCCCCUCCCCCUCCCCCUAAAUUCAAUUUUUUUUCUUAUCCCGCCCCUACUACCUAUUCUGACACCCCCACCCACUCACCAACCAAUCCCCUUCCCAAAAAAAGAUUUAAUUUUUUUAUUUUUUAUUUAAAAAGGAUUCUAAAAUGUAUUUUUACGCUUUAUCUAAACACUAAUAUGUAUUUUUUGAAAAAUAUUUUUUCAUUCACCAACCAAAUAUUAGAAAUUCUCCAACCAAACAUGAAAAAUAAGUAAGAAAUUAACUUGUUUUCCAAGAAAAUAUUUUCUAGAAAAACAUUUUCAAUGGAAAACAUUUUCCUUCGUACCAAACACACCCAAGUCUAAGUCCAUUCUAUACUUCAAAGCAUAUAUACUAAUUGCUUCCUAUGACAUAGUAUGAGAUUUGUAAAGACCUGACACCUGGAUUUAAUUUAAUCCUAUGAACACACCCAAGUCUAAGUCCAUUCUAUACUUCAAAGCAUAUAUACUAAUUGCUUCCUAUGACAUAGUAUGAGAUUUGUAAAGACCUGACACCUGGAUUUAAUUUAAUCCCAAAAGUUAGAUAAUGUGAGAGGAUUGUCUAAAUUCAUAUAAGCAAACCUUCAAUCCAUUUUUCAUUUAACGUGGGACUUUUACUCACUCAAACAUUCUUUUCAUGCCUAGGGCCCAACUGACACGUAGAUUGGGAGACCAAACUAGGAUGAACUUCACUCUGAUACCAUAUAAAAAUAUGACACCUGCACCUAACUCAACCACAAAGCUAGCUCAUGGGAAGAGGAUUGUCCAAAUCCAUAUGUGUUGGGUUCGAAAUCGAGAGGGCGUCAUGCGGAAGCUAUUAGUUGCAAACUAUGAGACGAUAAAUAAGAUGACAACGAAAAACAAUACUAAAAACAUAAUUUUAUUAUAUGAUUUGGCCAAUUGGCCUACAUAUAAAACCUAAUAUUAAAAAAUAUAAAACUGAGAAAAUCUCCCCCUAAACGAAAAUCUUAAAAGACUACAUUGUGGAUGCUAUUAUUGUGUUAUGGUAUGAGAAGGGAUUUUCUAUUUAUAGAUAUCCAAAACCUUUCCUCCAAGAAAGAGGCUAGGCAAAUAUGGAAAAGAAUUAUAUUGUUUCCUUUCGAGAAAAGUAAAAGUAAUUAUGGUAACUUUUAUUUUCCUUCUAAGAAAAAGUAAAACUUAAAUAUAGUAAGAAAAUCAGGGCAAAAACCCUAACAAGACUUUCACCCACUUAAUUAACAAGAUUGAUGUAACGACAGUUAUGAUUUAUUUACAAAUUUGUUCUAGAAAUUCAUACGUAUUAGAAUUUAUUCCAGAAAUAUCCCUCGGCAAUAAUAAUAACAUACUUAGAACAUUCCCCCUCACGUGCUGACUUAUUUUUUUGGUCAUGGGUCAAGCACAUGAAAAUUCUUUUUAAUAAUGGGUGGCAGUGAGAUUCGAUUCCAGGACCUCUGCCUGCUCUAAUACCAUGUUGAAGUUUGUAACCAUCUAAUUUAAAAGUUUAAGUUGUUAGAGAGAGCACACUUUUAUUAUUUAAUUAUAUUCUCACCAGAGAAAUUGUUUUUGAAGGACCCUUGGCUCAAGGAUACCAACUCCAAGUAAAAAAAAAAAAUAAUGAGUAAAAAACAUAUCGAUUAAUAAGUAAAGCAAUGCAAAGCCUGCCAAAAAACGAACAAUAACAACAACAUAAUGAAAAGAAAUAUUUAAUAAGUUAAAGAUGAUAUAAUAAAUACUUUAAAAUAAGAUGAAAAUGAAAAGUAAACUUUACGAAAACAUUUUUUUUUUCAACACAAUAUAAUAUAUAUCAUACAACAGAACAUUACAUGACCAUGACCAACCAUCCAUAGGAACUAUUGAAUGGCUUUAUUCAUACAAGCAAAAGUUCUAAAGUUGCAAGAUUUUUAGGGUUUUGCCACUUAUAUUACAAAGGAUUACAUUAAUAAUACAUAAUUAAGCACUAAUUAAUUAGUUCUGAGGCUCAGAUUCAGUGGCUAUUCCCAAGGCCAUAUAUUCCUCAUAGGUGCAGCAAUGGUGAUAUUUGCAUUUAUGGUAACAUCCUUUAUGUUUAUAUCCUCCACCCUUAUAAUAAUGGUCACCUCCAACACCAUCAACGUCUACUUCCUUCGCUGCUGCAUCGAUGAAUUGAGAAUAUUAAAACUUAUGCAUAUCUAUUGAUGACUGAUCUUUGAAUUGAAAUUUCUAUUUAUGUGUUGUACUUUUCAUUUAAUUUUGUUAUAGUUUUAAGAUAAUUUCUAUCAUGACUAUAUAUAUAUGUAAAUAAAUUUUUUGUUUCAAUCUGAUAUGUUUAAGAUCACAAGAUUCAAAGGAUAUUUUAGUAUGUUCUACACACUUUUAGUUUAGUUUGGAUUGAAAAGUUUAUGCUAUAUUCUUCAAAUUCAUGCAUAGUGACUGAGACAUAUAAAAUGAAGCAUAAGGAAGGUAAAUUAAGUGUCAUGAUCAAGCUAGUGUUAGUAAAACAUUAGGUUAUCAUCUAACAUUCAUAAAACCUUACAAAUUUUAGUUCAUGGUCUAAUUUUAUAUGCUGGACGUAUCUUUACUAUGUCACUUUUUUUAUUUAAAUUCAAUUACCCAGAUAUUCGAGGCAAAGAGCGAUGAAAACACAAAGUAAUGCGUAAAGAUAUGCUAAUAUAACACAGUAACAUCAAUUGUUUCUUGUUUUUUUUUUUUUUUCAAUGAAUUCAACUACAUAAAGAGAAAAUGAAAGAUGAUACUUACAGUUGGGAGUCUCAGAUUCAGUGGCUUUUCCCAUGGCCACAUAUUCUUCAUAGGUGCAGCAUUUAUGAUAUUUGCAUUUAUGGUAACAUCCUUUAUGAUAGCCACCCUUUUUAUAGCCACCUUUGCCACCAUAGUAAUGGUCAAGAUCUACUUCUUUCUCCGCUGCAUCGAUGAAUUGAGAAUAGUAAAUCUAAUGCAUAUGCACUGACUGAUCGUUGAAGUGAAAUUUCUCUUAUUAUAAAUUAUGGCUGUCAAGUGGGCCGGGCCAACCUGGCCCUACUCGGCCCACUUAAAUAAAUCAGCCCAGUAAGCCCUAUGGCUUUAGGGUUUCAGGUCCCGGGCCGGUUAUUUUUUUAAUUUGGGCCUGGUUAACCCGACUCGGACCUAGCUCGGUCCAGGCCCGUCGGUUAACCGACCCCGCCCAGCCCGGAGUCUUUUUAUUUUUUUAAAUAAUUAUUUUUUUGUAUAAAUUAGUAUAUAACUAUACAAAUAUAUAUUCUAAUGUGUGUGUGUGUAUAUAUAUAUAUAUAUUAUAAUAUAUUUCAUUUAAUGUAUUACAUAUACAUAGAGUAGAGUGUAUAUAUGUGAAUAGAUCUUCUAUAGAAGUGUAUAUUUAACGUAUACAUGUUUAUAUAUUUUAUAAA
RNAcentral lists this long non-coding RNA (15491 nucleotides) under Capsicum annuum. RNAcentral describes it as "long non-coding RNA (CANN_LNC005762)". Lineage: Eukaryota; Viridiplantae; Streptophyta; Magnoliopsida; Solanales; Solanaceae. The record is from RNAcentral.